Molecule: long non-coding RNA, 709 nt
Organism: Manduca sexta (tobacco hornworm)
Lineage: Eukaryota; Metazoa; Arthropoda; Insecta; Lepidoptera; Sphingidae
Exons: 3
Source: RefSeq, a predicted model, not a curated record
UACGUUUACGCGCCAUCCUGCCCGUAAAAAAAAUGAAGCUAUAUUAUUAUUAUUAUUGUGUUGCGUGUAUGUAACAUGACUCGUUUAUAAUGUACUGUAUUUAUUUACAUAUUGUUUACGAAUAAAACGUGUGUUUGUUUAAACUGUAUAACUACUAACUACUCGCCAAGAACGCCAAGAACUUGCUUGCAUACUUGGGGCCGCUUAAAAUGUUAAAUCCAGUGAAAACAAUUAAGUUUUGUAUGUUUAUUGAUAAUAAUGAUUCUAACUAACAUUAUGAUAAGUAGUAUAAUAUCGAAUAAUAAUAUUUGCAAGUUGCACCCGAUCAGUGUAGUGAGUGAAAUAAUAAUAUUAGGAUUUAUUUUUGGAUGUUGUGUGUGUUCGUGUUCGUGUGAUACAAAUUUUAUCGUAAGUUUAAAUCUGAAGGUAGACAGGAUGCAAGAAGUGUGCGGACCACCGGCCCCGGGCCCUCUCAACCUUUAUGCGAGUACCUACAUACAUACAUACAUAACUGUGCACCCGUACCGGCACCGUCUACUAUCUACUGUCGUCAAUUAGGAUGCAGUAUGGAUCGCAGACACAUCUCAUCGUCCAGUUUUCCAGUUUCCACCAGCCAUACCACCAGCUAUGACCAGGCACCAGACGCCAGCGGCGCUUCCUCAACGUUAUGCUUAAACGCCACACUAUAUAUGUACAGGGUGAAGGUUUC